Molecule: ribosomal RNA, 244 nt
Filed under: uncultured bacterium
Lineage: Bacteria
Description: partial small subunit ribosomal RNA
Rfam family: Bacterial small subunit ribosomal RNA
Source: RNAcentral
AGAAUCAACGCUGGCGGCGUGCCUAACACAUGCAAGUCGCACGAGAAAGGGGCUUCGGCUCUGAGUAAAGAGGCGCACGGGUGAGUAACACGUGACUAACCUACCUUCGAGUGGGGAAUAACCUGGGAAACCCGGGCUAAUACCGCAUAAUACCUACGGGUCAAAGGAGCAAUUCGCUUGAAGAGGGGGUCGCGGCAGAUUAGUUAGUUGGCGGGGUAAUGGCCCACCAAGACGAUGAUCUGUA